Long non-coding RNA from Alnus glutinosa, 921 nucleotides. RefSeq lists it as uncharacterized. The transcript has 2 exons. NCBI's taxonomy places the organism in Eukaryota, Viridiplantae, Streptophyta, Magnoliopsida, Fagales, Betulaceae. The record is from RefSeq and is a predicted model, not a curated record.
UUUCCACCCCCCCUACGCUGAAACCCCUCUCCUCUCUCUCUCUCUACCUCGCUCGCUCUCCGGCCGACUGUCCCUCUCCAGCCUGCCGUCUAUUUCCUCUCCUUUUUCUGGCAGUUUCUCUAUCUCCGACAGCCUCUUUGGCGGUGUUCUCUGUCUCCGGCGGUGGAAUCCAUCUCCGGCGAGGUUUGUUUGUAUUGUCUCUCCCUCUCUCUUUCUCUGCUAACAUCCCCCCCCAAAACCGCCGUCCCCCCUCUCUCUCUCUCUCUCUCUCUGCUCAAAUUCCCCCCAAACUGUCGUCCCCCCUCUCUCUCCCUCUCUCUCUCUGUUCAAAUUCCCCCCCCCCCCCCCCCCCACAAACGGCCGCCCCCCUCUCUCUCUCCCGCUCGCUCGCCGGUCGAGCCCCUUCCUCUCCCCCAUAUUUUUUUCCUCCCCCAAACAACUGCCGCCCCCUCUCUCUCUCUCUCUCUCCCUCCCGCUCGCCAGUCGAGCCCCUCCCUUUCCCUCAGUUUUUUUUUCCUCCCCCCAAACUGGGGAAGUGAAGAUUGGUGAUCUCGGGCAAUUCUCCGGAAGUCACAUGCGGCUCACUGUGUUGAGUUCAUGGCUCCUGACUGUUGGGCCUGCAAAGAAGGCGAAGCAGAAAGAAGAACCGAAGAAAGAUGAGAAGGAAGAGCCGUGGAAAGAUUCUGUCCUCUCCCAUGGUCACAUACCAUUAUAUCCCACAUCUUGAAGAGUAUCCAAACAGUUGUGUCAUAUCCUGAUUGUAAGACUUGAGAGGGAACAACUGAGAGUUAUUGAAUGCUUUGGUGAUGAAAUUGGUAUGUUUUAGGAACCCAUUUGAGAUAAACAUGUGUAGAGUGUGUAUAAUGGAAUAUAUUGUGAUUGAAAUUCAGGGAAAAUGAAUAAAUGGAUUUUGGAAUAGAA